Molecule: small nuclear RNA, 146 nt
Organism: Oryctolagus cuniculus (rabbit)
Lineage: Eukaryota; Metazoa; Chordata; Mammalia; Lagomorpha; Leporidae
Gene: U4
Rfam family: U4 spliceosomal RNA
About the family: U4 small nuclear RNA (U4 snRNA) is a component of the major U2-dependent spliceosome. The structure of U4 snRNA from yeast and human has been reported. U4 snRNA presents a k-turn RNA motif in the 5p-SL related to recognition of Snu13 protein.
Source: Ensembl
AGCCUUGUGCAGUGGCAGGAUCGUAGCCAAUGAGGUUUAUCCGAGGCAUGAUUAUUGCUCAUUGAAAACUUUUCCCAAUACCCUGCCAUGAUGACUUGAAACACAUUUGAUUUAAAGGGCCACACUUUUACAGACUGAUGGCCCAG